RNAcentral lists this ribosomal RNA (468 nucleotides) under uncultured bacterium. Its description in RNAcentral is "partial 16S ribosomal RNA". It matches the Rfam family "Bacterial small subunit ribosomal RNA", at positions 28 to 507 of the family's 1533-position model. The record is from RNAcentral.
GACGAACGCUGGCGGCGUGCUUAACACAUGCAAGUCGAACGGAGAGGCCCUGCUUUUGUGGGGUGCUCGAGUGGCGAACGGGUGAGUAACACGUGAGUAACCUGCCCUUGACUUUGGGAUAACUUCAGGAAACUGGGGCUAAUACCGGAUAGGAGCUCCUGCUGCAUGGUGGGGGUUGGAAAGUUUCGGCGGUUGGGGAUGGACUCGCGGCUUAUCAGCUUGUUGGUGGGGUAGUGGCUUACCAAGGCUUUGACGGGUAGCCGGCCUGAGAGGGUGACCGGCCACAUUGGGACUGAGAUACGGCCCAGGCUCCUACGGGAGGCAGCAGUGGGGAAUAUUGCACAAUGGGCGGAAGCCUGAUGCAGCAACGCCGCGUGCGGGAUGACGGCCUUCGGGUUGUAAACCGCUUUCGCCUGUGACGAAGCGUGAGUGACGGUAAUGGGUAAAGAAGCACCGGCUAACUACGUG